GUUGGGUGUGGUGGCACAUGCCUGUAAUCCUAGCAGCUUAGGAGGCUGAGGCAGGAGGAUCGCAAGUUCAAAGUCAGCCUCAGCAACCACGAGGUGCUAAGCAACUUAGUGAGACCCUGUCUCUA
RNAcentral lists this small RNA (125 nucleotides) under Marmota monax (woodchuck). The record is from RNAcentral. Lineage: Eukaryota; Metazoa; Chordata; Mammalia; Rodentia; Sciuridae.